RNA transcript from Populus euphratica (Euphrates poplar), 1482 nucleotides. It is a transcript of the gene named riboflavin synthase-like, with no coding region annotated. The record is from RefSeq and is a predicted model, not a curated record. The transcript has 3 exons. Lineage: Eukaryota; Viridiplantae; Streptophyta; Magnoliopsida; Malpighiales; Salicaceae.
UUAAAUCUUUUGCUUUAUUGGACUGCGAUAUCGAAGAUUGUAAGGUCUGGGAGUUGAGCAAUGAGCCUUCCUUUAGAAUAGGGCUGUUCAAAGUUAUAAGAAACAAGGCAGCUUCACACCAUGAUUUCUUUUCAUUACAUUGAUGACGUGAUAUUCAUCAUAUCGCUCAAAGAAGAGCUCUAGAUAUUGUAAGUAGUCUACAACUCUAAACCCUUCAAUUUUUUUCUGAGCAACCAAACAGACAAGAGAAAGAAAAGAAUGGCACUCUCUUUCUCUCGAACUUCUCUCUCGAUAACCCAGAAAUACUUUCCUUCAAAAAUCCCCGCAACAAAAUCAACAAUCCUAAACCUCCUCUCUUAUAAACCCCACAAUCUCAACAAGUUCUCUACAAUCUCAAAACCCAACUCUUUCUGUCUGACCAUCACAAAACUCUCAAAAAACCCAAAACCCAAAUCCCAUCCUCAGCCAGUAAGAUCACUCUUCACUGGUAUAGUUGAGGAAAUGGGCACCGUUCAAAGCUUGGGUGACACUAAAGAUGGUGGCUUCGACCUUAAAAUAGAGGCAAAAACAGUACUUGAAGGUGUGCAUUUAGGUGAUAGCAUUGCAGUUAAUGGGACUUGCUUAACUGUUACUGAUUUCACUAACGAAGCCUUCACUGUGGGGUUAUCUCCUGAAACUUUGAGAAAAACUUCUCUAAUUGAGUUGAAGACUGGAUCUUUGGUUAAUUUGGAGAGGGCAGUCCAGCCUAAUAGUAGAAUGGGAGGACAUUUUGUGCAGGGUCACGUGGAUGGCACCGGUGUGAUCGUAGAGAAGGAGCCAGAGGGUGAUUCUUUGUGGAUUAAAGUGAAAGCAAAUAAAGGGCUGUUGAAAUAUAUUGUGCCAAAGGGGUUUAUUGCAGUGGAUGGGACUAGUUUGACAGUUGUUGAUGUUAUGGAGGAAGAAGAGUGUUUUAAUUUUAUGUUAGUGGCUUAUACACAGCAGAAAGUUGUUAUUCCUUUGAAGGAAGUCAGUCAGAAGGUGAAUUUGGAGGUGGAUAUUUUGGGAAAGUAUGUUGAGAGGUUGCUUAGUAGUGGGUUUGUUGAUUCCUUCAAGGGUUCUUCAUGAUUAAAGAAAAAUGGAGGUGGAAGGUGGGAAAAUGAGAUGUGGACUUGAUUAUGGACAGCCUAACUAGCUGAAGCUGACAUGCACAAGUAGUCUGUGAUACCUGGAUUUGUUCGGGCCUAAACAUUGUCGAGCCGAGAGGAAGGAGGAUGACUGUAUGUAUGGGAAUAGUUCAUAGAUUGAGGUCUUGUCUGCUCGACGUCACCGGCCUUCCUGCUUUCCAAUCUCCAAGCUUGCCUUGUUAUGUUCUUCACUGUCGUUAUUAAUAAUUCAUGAAUGAGCUCGCCAUUUGAAACCAUGUGAUGCAGCUGCAUAGACUAUCUAAAGUUAAAAUUUAUUUUUCAUCUGCUAGCCUGAAUCUACUCAUGAAUUUUCAGCCAU